CGGGACGGGUGAGUAAUGUCUGGGGAAACUGCCUGAUGGGGGGGGAUAACUACUGGAAACGGUAGCUAAUACCGCAUAACGUCGCAAGACCAAAGAGGGGGACCUUCGGGCCUCUUGCCAUCGGAUGUGCCCAGAUGGGAUUAGCUAGUAGGUGGGGUAACGGCUCACCUAGGCGACGAUCCCUAGCUGGUCUGAGAGGAUGACCAGCCACACUGGAACUGAGACACGGUCCAG
RNAcentral lists this ribosomal RNA (234 nucleotides) under uncultured bacterium. RNAcentral describes it as "partial 16S ribosomal RNA". It matches the Rfam family "Bacterial small subunit ribosomal RNA", at positions 100 to 334 of the family's 1533-position model. The record is from RNAcentral.